UACAGAGGUCUCAAGCGUUGUUCGGAAUUACUGGGCGUAAAGGGUGCGCAGGCCGCGCGGGCAGUCAAAUGUGAAAUCCUGGGGCUCAACCUCAGAAUUGCGCUUGAUACUUCCGCGCUAGAACUUUGGAGAGGGAUCUGGAAUUCUCGGUGUAGCAGUGAAAUGCGUGGAUAUCGAGAAGAACACGCAGGGCGUAAGCAAGAUCCUGGACAAAUGUUGACGCUCAUGCACGAAGGCUAGGGUAGCGAACGGG
Molecule: ribosomal RNA, 253 nt
Filed under: uncultured bacterium
Lineage: Bacteria
Description: partial 16S ribosomal RNA
Rfam family: Bacterial small subunit ribosomal RNA
Source: RNAcentral